AGCUUGUCCCUGAUGUUAGCAGCGAACGGGUGAUUAACACGUGUGUAACCUGCCUGUUGACUGGUUUACUCCGGGAAACCGGUGCUUAUACCGGAUACUGUUUGAACCGAUGUUUCAACAUUUAAGGUGGCUUCGGCUACCACUUACAGAUGGACCCGCGGCGCAUUAGCUAGUUGGUGAGGGAACGACUCACCCAGGUGACGAUGCGUAUCGACCCUGAGAGGGUGGCCGGCCACACUGGAACUGAGCCAUGAUCAAGAUUCAGACUAGAGGUCGCGUCGUCCUUCUUCUGUAGGACCAAGGCCUAAGAGCCACCCCCUGUAAGUGUGAGUAAUUCGAUCGUAACUUUUUUGUUACUAAAACCAGUUCCGUUGAAUAGGCGGUCCUAGAAGUACCUAACAGAA
RNAcentral lists this ribosomal RNA (404 nucleotides) under Bacillus sp. (in: firmicutes). RNAcentral's name for it is "bacterial SSU rRNA". It matches the Rfam family "Bacterial small subunit ribosomal RNA", at positions 77 to 487 of the family's 1533-position model. Lineage: Bacteria; Bacillati; Bacillota; Bacilli; Caryophanales; Bacillaceae. The record is from RNAcentral.